GAGCUAGGAGGCGGUUAAGCAGGGUGGGUGGCGACGGUGGUUCCCUGUUUGAGCAGUUAGUUGUGGCGGGACCGCGGAUAUUCUUCCGAGGAGGGGUAAAGAAGUUUGAAAUCGGCUAGUCACAGGAGGUGUUCUUUUUUUAUAUGAUAUUCGUUAUCUUUUAACCAACAGGGAGCAAUUCUUUUAGUUCUUUUUCUAAAGGUAAAGAAGAACUCGAGGGAAGGUGGUGGUUGGAGAGGAGGCCGGCCGGCUUAACAGGGCGAGACCAAACGCAGAAGAGGCCGCUCCUUCAUCGAUCCGGAGGGUGAGGAGGACACUCACCAGAGGAGGGGCGUCCGGACUCCUCUAGAGAGCCCUGGAGCCCUGACCCCGCACAUACUACCCCUAAAGCGAAUACGGCUACUUCUGCGGGUGCGCCGAAGACACCUCGUGGUCGAAGAAGGCGGUGUUCGAGCGGCGGUACUAGCGGAGGAGCAGGACGAAGAAUAUUCUCGGGGAGGCGGCGCGUCGUCGAGAAAGAGACGCUACCUCGGGCCGGCCGAGUAGAAGUUGUGCAGCCCGAGGCCGUUGCCUGUCUACGAGAAGUACCUGACACCGCGCCCGCCAUAGCGGCCGCGCCGGCCGUACAAGGUAGCUCCCCACUCUGGCCAGGAGCCGCCGUACCUUCUUCCCGCGCCGCACUUCGCCGGGAAGAAGUGGAGCGGCCUACUGUACGAGCUCCUCCUCAUGAUGCUGCUCGUCGAGGGCCUCUUCUUCGCCGCGGAGUGGGGCCUCGUCCAGGUGGACGACCUCUCCUCGAAGCUCCUCCUCUUGUUCGACCUCGGCCUCUCCUUCUGCCUCGACCGGGCGUUCGAGCCGGACGUCGGUGCGGUCCACCGGCAGACCAAGGUCUUGGCGGCGCGGGCCACCUUCUGUUUCUGCGACCUCGCGCUGAAGCUGGCGGAGUUCCGCAGGAAGCUGCGGGAGGCGCGGCUGGUGCUGCGGGAGGAGGUCCUGUUGGUGGCCGAGGCCAGUGUCCACCAUUGCAACUGGCUCUUCUACGUUCUAUUCCUCCGCGGCCUUCCGUCGAAGCCACGUCGGCAGCUGCGGAGCCUCGGCCUCGUCCGCCGCCGCCUCCGCCUCCGCUUCUGAAGGAACCGGCUGCGGCUCCUUGUCCGGCGCCGUCGCCUCCGCAAGCUCCACCACGUCGUCGUUGUCGUCGACGUACACUUCCUGCUCCUCUCCGAUUCGGGCCCCUCGCCGCCCUCGCGCCACGACCUGCGCUCCCUGCGCGACGAGCCCUCGCCUACGCCGGAGCGGCCGCACCACCUGUCGUCGCACCUGAGCAUGACGAAGGGCCCCCCGCGGCCGCCGCUGCUCAUGGUGCUCACGCACUACCCGGGGCACCGCCCGCCAUAGGUCAGCCUCCUCCUGCUGCCGCGCCCGUCGCUGCUCCCGACGUCGAUGAUGGGGCUGCUGCGGCGGCAGAAGAAGCGGCGCCGCGUUCCCGUGUCGGUGGUAGUGUGCCUGCUGCUGCUAGUCCUGCUGCCGGUCUAGUCGAUGACCUACACCUUGAUCCGAGCGCGUGCGUAGUUCUUCGCACGCACGCACGCGGCACACCUUAGCUAGUUAAAGCAUAUAGUCAUUUUUUUAGCACCGCAAAACAAAAGAGAGGAACAUACGAAAGGGCGACAUUACAACCCAGCCAUGCUAGCUGGUUCAACAUACGCAUACGUAACAUCAUGCUCAAUCCCAUUAUAUAGCCACCAUUUUAGACAGCACUACAUGCCCUUUAUUCACGUGCCUCAGUUUCGGAGUAAAAAUACCGUGUCAUGUAGUACAGUACAGUUUACUCUAAACUAAAAAUUAGUAGAUGACGAUACAGCAGGCUCAAAA
This 1875-nucleotide ribosomal RNA is filed under the name Triticum aestivum (bread wheat). RNAcentral's name for it is "partial small subunit ribosomal RNA". The record is from RNAcentral. Lineage: Eukaryota; Viridiplantae; Streptophyta; Magnoliopsida; Poales; Poaceae.